UAUGAAGUAGCCACAAAAAGAAUUGUA
RNAcentral lists this non-coding RNA (27 nucleotides) under Rattus norvegicus (Norway rat). The record is from RNAcentral. Lineage: Eukaryota; Metazoa; Chordata; Mammalia; Rodentia; Muridae.